UAUAAUUGGCAAGUUGUUGGA
RNAcentral lists this non-coding RNA (21 nucleotides) under Caenorhabditis elegans. Lineage: Eukaryota; Metazoa; Nematoda; Chromadorea; Rhabditida; Rhabditidae. The record is from RNAcentral.